Molecule: ribosomal RNA, 2898 nt
Filed under: Escherichia coli
Lineage: Bacteria; Pseudomonadati; Pseudomonadota; Gammaproteobacteria; Enterobacterales; Enterobacteriaceae
Description: 23S ribosomal RNA
Rfam family: Bacterial large subunit ribosomal RNA
Source: RNAcentral
UUAAGCGACUAAGCGUACACGGUGGAUGCCCUGGCAGUCAGAGGCGAUGAAGGACGUGCUAAUCUGCGAUAAGCGUCGGUGAGGUGAUAUGAACCGUUAUAACCGGCGAUUUCCGAAUGGGGAAACCCAGUGUGUUUCGACACACUAUCAUUAACUGAAUCCAUAGGUUAAUGAGGCGAACCGGGGGAACUGAAACAUCUAAGUACCCUGAGGAAAAGAAAUCAACCGAGAUUCCCCAGUAGCGGCGAGCGAACGGGGAGGAGCCCAGAGCCUGAAUCAGUGUGUGUGUUAGUGGAAGCGUCUGGAAAGGCGCGCGAUACAGGGUGACAGCCCCGUACACAAAAAUGCACAUAUUGUGAGCUCGAUGAGUAGGGCGGGACACGUGGUAUCCUGUCUGAAUAUGGGGGACCAUCCUCCAAGGCUAAAUACUCCUGACUGACCGAUAGUGAACCAGUACCGUGAGGGAAAGGCGAAAAGAACCCCGGCGAGGGAGUGAAAAGAACCUGAAACCGUGUACGUACAAGCAGUGGGAGCCUCUUAAUGGGGUGACUGCGUACCUUUUGUAUAAUGGGUCAGCGACUUAUAUUCUGUAGCAAGGUUAACCGAAUAGGGGAGCCGAAGGGAAACCGAGUCUUAACUGGGCGUUAAGUUGCAGGGUAUAGACCCGAAACCCGGUGAUCUAGCCAUGGGCAGGUUGAAGGUUGGGUAACACUAACUGGAGGACCGAACCGACUAAUGUUGAAAAAUUAGCGGAUGACUUGUGGCUGGGGGUGAAAGGCCAAUCAAACCGGGAGAUAGCUGGUUCUCCCCGAAAGCUAUUUAGGUAGCGCCUCGUGAAUUCAUCUCCGGGGGUAGAGCACUGUUUCGGCAAGGGGGUCAUCCCGACUUACCAACCCGAUGCAAACUGCGAAUACCGGAGAAUGUUAUCACGGGAGACACACGGCGGGUGCUAACGUCCGUCGUGAAGAGGGAAACAACCCAGACCGCCAGCUAAGGUCCCAAAGUCAUGGUUAAGUGGGAAACGAUGUGGGAAGGCCCAGACAGCCAGGAUGUUGGCUUAGAAGCAGCCAUCAUUUAAAGAAAGCGUAAUAGCUCACUGGUCGAGUCGGCCUGCGCGGAAGAUGUAACGGGGCUAAACCAUGCACCGAAGCUGCGGCAGCGACACUAUGUGUUGUUGGGUAGGGGAGCGUUCUGUAAGCCUGUGAAGGUGGCCUGUGAGGGUUGCUGGAGGUAUCAGAAGUGCGAAUGCUGACAUAAGUAACGAUAAAGCGGGUGAAAAGCCCGCUCGCCGGAAGACCAAGGGUUCCUGUCCAACGUUAAUCGGGGCAGGGUGAGUCGACCCCCUAAGGCGAGGCCGAAAGGCGUAGUCGAUGGGAAACAGGUUAAUAUUCCUGUACUUGGUGUUACUGCGAAGGGGGGGACGGAGAAGGCUAUGUUGGCCGGGCGACGGUUGUCCCGGUUUAAGCGUGUAGGCUGGUUUUCCAGGCAAAUCCGGAAAAUCAAGGCUGAGGCGUGAUGACGAGGCACUACGGUGCUGAAGCGACAAAUGCCCUGCUUCCAGGAAAAGCCUCUAAGCAUCAGGUAACAUCAAAUCGUACCCCAAACCGACACAGGUGGUCAGGUAGAGAAUACCAAGGCGCUUGAGAGAACUCGGGUGAAGGAACUAGGCAAAAUGGUGCCGUAACUUCGGGAGAAGGCACGCUGAUAUGUAGGUGAAGCGACUUGCUCGUGGAGCUGAAAUCAGUCGAAGAUACCAGCUGGCUGCAACUGUUUAUUAAAAACACAGCACUGUGCAAACACGAAAGUGGACGUAUACGGUGUGACGCCUGCCCGGUGCCGGAAGGUUAAUUGAUGGGGUUAGCGGUAACGCGAAGCUCUUGAUCGAAGCCCCGGUAAACGGCGGCCGUAACUAUAACGGUCCUAAGGUAGCGAAAUUCCUUGUCGGGUAAGUUCCGACCUGCACGAAUGGCGUAAUGAUGGCCAGGCUGUCUCCACCCGAGACUCAGUGAAAUUGAACUCGCUGUGAAGAUGCAGUGUACCCGCGGCAAGACGGAAAGACCCCGUGAACCUUUACUAUAGCUUGACACUGAACAUUGAGCCUUGAUGUGUAGGAUAGGUGGGAGGCUUUGAAGUGUGGACGCCAGUCUGCAUGGAGCCGACCUUGAAAUACCACCCUUUAAUGUUUGAUGUUCUAACGUGGGCCCCUUACCGGGGUUGCGGACAGUGUCUGGUGGGUAGUUUGACUGGGGCGGUCUCCUCCUAAAGAGUAACGGAGGAGCACGAAGGUUGGCUAAUCCUGGUCGGACAUCAGGAGGUUAGUGCAAUGGCAUAAGCCAGCUUGACUGCGAGCGUGACGGCGCGAGCAGGUGCGAAAGCAGGUCAUAGUGAUCCGGUGGUUCUGAAUGGAAGGGCCAUCGCUCAACGGAUAAAAGGUACUCCGGGGAUAACAGGCUGAUACCGCCCAAGAGUUCAUAUCGACGGCGGUGUUUGGCACCUCGAUGUCGGCUCAUCACAUCCUGGGGCUGAAGUAGGUCCCAAGGGUAUGGCUGUUCGCCAUUUAAAGUGGUACGCGAGCUGGGUUUAGAACGUCGUGAGACAGUUCGGUCCCUAUCUCGCCGUGGGCGCUGGAGAACUGAGGGGGCUGCUCCUAGUACGAGAGGACCGGAGUGGACGCAUCACUGGUGUUCGGGUUGUCAUGCCAAUGGCACUGCCCGGUAGCUAAAUGCGGAAGAGAUAAGUGCUGAAAGCAUCUAAGCACGAAACUUGCCCCGAGAUGAGUUCUCCUGACUCCUUGAGAGUCCUGAAGGAACGUUGAAGACGACGACGUUGAUAGGCCGGGUGUGUAAGCGCAGCGAUGCGUUGAGCUAACCGGUACUAAUGAACCGUGAGGCUUAACCU